GGUAAUAUAGCUUAGUGGUAGAGUGCUUGCUUUGCAUGCACGUAGCCCUGGGUUCUAUUCCUUAGUACCA
Molecule: transfer RNA, 70 nt
Filed under: Dipodomys ordii (Ord's kangaroo rat)
Lineage: Eukaryota; Metazoa; Chordata; Mammalia; Rodentia; Heteromyidae
Rfam family: tRNA
About the family: Transfer RNA (tRNA) molecules are approximately 80 nucleotides in length. Their secondary structure includes four short double-helical elements and three loops (D, anti-codon, and T loops). Further hydrogen bonds mediate the characteristic L-shaped molecular structure. tRNAs have two regions of fundamental functional importance: the anti-codon, which is responsible for specific mRNA codon recognition, and the 3' end, to which the tRNAs corresponding amino acid is attached (by aminoacyl-tRNA synthetases). tRNAs cope with the degeneracy of the genetic code in two manners: having more than one tRNA (with a specific anti-codon) for a particular amino acid; and 'wobble' base-pairing, i.e. permitting non-standard base-pairing at the 3rd anti-codon position.
Source: Rfam by way of RNAcentral